ACUCUUCGAAGAGAGAGCAGAAACCAUCUUACUCAUUCUCAAGCAGAGGUUCCCUGGAAUUCCUCAAUCUUCACUAGACAUUAGCAAAAUUCAAUACAACCGGGUAAGAACACAUUCCCUUUCACCUUCAGCUCUCUUUCGUGUUACAAUUUGAGCUUGAAUGAUCACCUUGAUCGGGAGAUAGAGAGAUGAAGCAAGACCAAAUAUGUAAUUGUGUAUGUUUCUGAUUGAAUUUUACCAUGACAUUGAUAUCUACUUUGCUAAUAAAUUCUAGUCAUGUUAACGAAACUGGAACUCAUAAUAUCUUCUUGGCUAACAGGAUAUAGGGCAGGCAAUUCUGGAAAGUUACUCAAGAAUUCUAG
This 362-nucleotide unclassified non-coding RNA is filed under the name Hevea brasiliensis (rubber tree). The record is from RNAcentral. Lineage: Eukaryota; Viridiplantae; Streptophyta; Magnoliopsida; Malpighiales; Euphorbiaceae.